AUACAACUCUCAGCAACGGAUAUCUUGGCUCUUGCAACGAUGAAGAACGCAGCGAAAUGCGAUACGUAGUGUGAAUUGCAGAAUUCCGCGAAUCAUCGAGUCUUUGAACGCAAGUUGCGCCCGAGGCUUGUCCGAGGGCAUUUCCGCUAGAGCGUCACC
RNAcentral lists this ribosomal RNA (159 nucleotides) under Cladomniopsis crenato-obtusa. RNAcentral's name for it is "5.8S ribosomal RNA". It matches the Rfam family "5.8S ribosomal RNA". Rfam says of the family: 5.8S ribosomal RNA (5.8S rRNA) is a component of the large subunit of the eukaryotic ribosome. It is transcribed by RNA polymerase I as part of the 45S precursor that also contains 18S and 28S rRNA. The record is from RNAcentral. Lineage: Eukaryota; Viridiplantae; Streptophyta; Bryopsida; Ptychomniales; Ptychomniaceae.